This 464-nucleotide ribosomal RNA is filed under the name Vreelandella stevensii. RNAcentral describes it as "partial 16S ribosomal RNA". It matches the Rfam family "Bacterial small subunit ribosomal RNA", at positions 338 to 795 of the family's 1533-position model. Lineage: Bacteria; Pseudomonadati; Pseudomonadota; Gammaproteobacteria; Oceanospirillales; Halomonadaceae. The record is from RNAcentral.
CCUACGGGGGGCAGCAGUGGGGAAUAUUGGACAAUGGGCGAAAGCCUGAUCCAGCCAUGCCGCGUGUGUGAAGAAGGCCUUCGGGUUGUAAAGCACUUUCAGUGGGGAAGAAAGCCUUGGGGCUAAUACCCUCGAGGAAGGACAUCACCCACAGAAGAAGCACCGGCUAACUCCGUGCCAGCAGCCGGGUAAUACGGAGGGUGCGAGCGUUAAUCGGAAUUACUGGGCGUAAAGCGCGCGUAGGCGGUCUGAUAAGCCGGUUGUGAAAGCCCCGGGCUCAACCUGGGAACGGCAUCCGGAACUGUCAGGCUGGAGUGCAGGAGAGGAAGGUAGAAUUCCCGGUGUAGCGGUGAAAUGCGUAGAGAUCGGGAGGAAUACCAGUGGCGAAGGCGGCCUUCUGGACUGACACUGACGCUGAGGUGCGAAAGCGUGGGUAGCAAACAGGAUUAGAUACCCUUGUAGUC